This 235-nucleotide ribosomal RNA is filed under the name uncultured bacterium. RNAcentral describes it as "partial 16S ribosomal RNA". It matches the Rfam family "Bacterial small subunit ribosomal RNA", at positions 118 to 348 of the family's 1533-position model. The record is from RNAcentral.
UGAGGAACAUGACCUUCGGCGGGGGAUAGCCGGCCCAACGGCCGGGUAAUACCGCGUACGACCACAUGGGGACAUCCCUGAGUGGUGAAAGCAGCAAUGCGCCGAUGGAGUGCCUCGCGGCCUAUCAGCUAGUUGGUGAGGUAACGGCUCACCAAGGCGACGACGGGUAGCUGGUCUGAGAGGAUCGACCCGGCCACACGUGGGACUGAGACACGGCCCAGACUCCGUAGGGACG